RNAcentral lists this ribosomal RNA (1408 nucleotides) under uncultured Rhizaria. RNAcentral's name for it is "SSU rRNA". It matches the Rfam family "Eukaryotic small subunit ribosomal RNA", at positions 384 to 1804 of the family's 1831-position model. The record is from RNAcentral.
CGGAGAGGGCGCAUGAGAAACGGCUACCACUUCUAAGGAAGGCAGCAGGCGCGCAAAUUACCCAAUCCUGACUCAGGGAGGUAGUGACAAGAAAUAACAAUAAACCGGCUUAUGCCGGUUUAAUUGGAAUGAGUACAAUUUAAACAUCUUAACGAGGAACAAUUGGAGGGCAAGUCUGGUGCCAGCAGCCGCGGUAAUUCCAGCUCCAAUAGCGUAUACUAAAGUUGUUGCAGUUAAAAAGCUCGUAGUUGGAUUUCUGCGGGGACGGAGCGGCCGGACGCAACUUGCGUCUCGAGCUAGCGCUUUCCCCGCAUCCUGCCGCGAACCGUGCUACCAUUAGCUUGGUGGCGCUGGGGAUCGGCUCGAUUACUUUGAGAAAAAUAGAGUGUUCAAAGCAGGCCACACGCCUUGAAUAAGUUAGCAUGGAAUAAUGACUAAGGACUUCGGUUCUAUUUUGUUGGUGUUCGGGACUGAAGUAAUGAUUGAUAGGGACAGUUGGGGCGGUCUGUAUUCCAAAGCGAGAGGUGAAAUUCUUAGACCUUCGGAAGACAAACAGCUGCGAAAGCGUUCCGCAAGGAUGUUCCCUUUGAUCAAGAACGAAAGUUGGGGGAUCGAAGACGAUCAGAUACCGUCGUAGUCUCAACUAUAAACUAUACCAGCUAGGGAUCGGUCAACGUUUAAUCAUUCGACUUGAUCGGCACCUUAUGAGAAAUCAAAGCAUCUGGGUUCCGGGGGGAGUAUGGUCGCAAGGCUGAAACUUAAAGGAAUUGACGGAAGGGCACCACCAGCCGUGGAGCCUGUGGCUUAAUUUGACUCAACACGGGAAAACUUACCAGGUCCAGACAUAGUAAGGAUUGACAGAUUGAUAGCUCUUUCUUGAUUCUGUGGGUGGUGGUGCAUGGCCGUUCUUAGUUGGUGGAGUGAUUUGUCUGGUUAAUUCCGUUAACGAACGAGACCCCAGCCUGCUAAAUAGCGCGGCUGAGCUUUGCUCGGUGCGAGCUUCUUAGAGGGACUAUGAUGCGCGAUAGCACAUGGAAGUUUGGGGCAAUAACAGGUCUGUGAUGCCCUUAGAUGUUCUGGGCCGCACACGGGCUACACUGGCGCCUGCAACGAGCAUAUCAGCUGGCCCGAGAGGGUCUUGGCUAAUCUUUUGAACCGGCGCCGUGCUUGGGAUUGACCAUUGCAAUUGUUGGUCAUGCAACGAGGAAUGCCUUGUAAACGCGAGUCAUCAGCUCGCAUUGAAUACGUCCCUGCCCUUUGUACACACCGCCCGUCGCUCCUACCGAUGUAUGUUCCGAUGAAAUUUUCGGAGAGCGCCAGAGAACGGGGCUCCGCCUUGCAGAUCUGGAGGCUCAAAGUCACUUAAAUCUGAACAUUUCGAGGAAGGAGAAGUCGUAACAAGGUAACC